GAUCAUGGCUCAGGAUGAACGCUAGCUACAGGCUUAACACAUGCAAGUCGGAGGGGCAGCAUGUUGGUUGCUUGCAACCGAUGAUGGCGACCGGCGCACGGGUGAGUAACGCGUAUCCAACCCUACCCUUGUCCAUCGGAUAACCCGUCGAAAGGCGGCCUAACACGAUAUGCGGUUCACCGCAGGCAUCUAACGUGAACGAAAUGUGAAGGAGAAGGAUGGGGAUGCGU
This 230-nucleotide ribosomal RNA is filed under the name uncultured bacterium. RNAcentral's name for it is "partial 16S ribosomal RNA". It matches the Rfam family "Bacterial small subunit ribosomal RNA", at positions 15 to 236 of the family's 1533-position model. The record is from RNAcentral.